This 69-nucleotide transfer RNA is filed under the name Lactococcus lactis. RNAcentral describes it as "tRNA-Ile". The stretch from base 3 to 62 matches the Rfam family "tRNA", at positions 7 to 64 of the family's 71-position model. Rfam says of the family: Transfer RNA (tRNA) molecules are approximately 80 nucleotides in length. The record is from RNAcentral. Lineage: Bacteria; Bacillati; Bacillota; Bacilli; Lactobacillales; Streptococcaceae. RNAcentral also lists the same sequence under 4 other names.
AGUUAGCUCAGUUGGUCAAACUAACGGCUCAUAACCGUUCGGUCGCUGGUUCGAGUCCAGCAAGAACCA